Molecule: long non-coding RNA, 783 nt
Filed under: Dromaius novaehollandiae (emu)
Lineage: Eukaryota; Metazoa; Chordata; Aves; Casuariiformes; Dromaiidae
Description: lncRNA (ENSDNVG00000011517.1)
Source: RNAcentral
UCUGGGUGCCACAUUGCUCCCCGAAGAGCCGCGCUGCAGCCGGACCCCACUGCGGGAGCUGUCGGCACUUCUGCUUUUUCCAGCCCCUUGCGCGCGCUCCGGACAUGAAYCGCUCCGCUGUGGCCCGGCGCCGCACCCCAGCCUGGCGCUGAGGCCUCGUCCUGCCGGCCRCGCUCUUCCUCCGAAGCGGGUGGAGGAAGUUCCCCACGGAAAGCCCCGCCGGCUGCUGCAGCAGCGUUGCCCUGGCGUGGGGGGGCACAUGCACGUGGGGAAGGGCACCAGUGCGACCCCCCCCCACUCUGCAAAAAAUCCCCGCUGUCUGCACGCAGGCGGACGCCCAGUGUGGCAACGUCUCGCGCGCGGCGGCGGCUCCGGCCCCGGUGGAGCUGAGCCUCUACUACGAGAGCCUGUGCCCGGCGUGCCRGGCCUUCGUGGUGCGGCAGCUCUUCACCACCUGGCUGCUGCUGCCGGGCGAGGUGCUGAACAUCACCCUGGUGCCCUACGGCAACGCGCAGGUGGGCACCGGGCCCGGCCGCCCCCAGGAGACCAACGUCAACGGGACGUGGCGCUUCCAGUGCCAGCACGGCCCCGAGGAGUGUCUGGGCAACAUGGUGGAGGCCUGCCUGAUGCACGAGGUGCAGGACUUCAGCACCUACUUCCCCAUCAUCUUCUGCCUGGAGUCGGGGGUGUCCGUCACCAAGGACCUCGAGGCCUGCCUGCGGGUCUACGCGCCGGAGGUGGCGGCGGCGCGGGUGGCCGCCUGCGUGCAGGGCGACGUGGGGC